Molecule: long non-coding RNA, 345 nt
Filed under: Homo sapiens (human)
Lineage: Eukaryota; Metazoa; Chordata; Mammalia; Primates; Hominidae
Description: HSALNT0374703
Source: RNAcentral
CACCCGCCGGGAACCCUCGCGCCGCGCGUGGGCGAGCGGCGGGCACCCGGCGGCAUCCGCGCCAGCGGCCACCUCCCCGGCCCGCAACCGGCCUCAGGGGCCGAGAUUGCGGCCCGAGGUCCGGAAGCGGCGUCCAGCGCUGUCAGCGGGCGGAGUUCCUGUUUUAGUUGGCUUCUCUUCAUUGGAAGAAACAGAUUCACUCAAGUGACUUCAAGAAGAAUAGAGUUUAUUAUGAGGAUGCAGGUAAAAGAGCAUUUGUGGGGCCGGGCUCGGUGUCUCACACCUGUAAUCCCAGCACUUUGGGAGGCCAAGGCAGGUGGAUCACAAGGUCAGGAGUUCAAGACC